GGGCAGGGCUGGGCGGGGACCCCAACCACAGCCUUUGCUUCAGCAGGGUCAGCCUCCCACCAACAGGCACACCCCGCCUCACCCCCCUAUGCCAGGCUAGGUGCCAGGGGCUGGAGGGGGUGACUACACAGCAAGGCUGAGUACCUGCAAGCGGCUGGCCAGGCGGCUAAGGGGCAGCCAGGUUUGAAACAAGGGACCAGGGCACACGGUUCAAAAGACAAAAGGCACCAAAGGGUAAACUGUGACAGGAUGUCCUCCUUCCACCCUGGCCCAGCUCAGCCCUGGAGGCAACCGCUACUAGACUUUCAGGUUUUUUCUUUUCCUUUCUGAGAGAUCCUACGUGUGUGUAUGGGUACACACAUGAUUACCUGCUUUUUAAAAAAACAAGAGAAAUGGCAGCCACAUGACACACAAUAUUCUGUACUUUGCUCUUCUCGAAAACAUUCCGUGGCUCUCCCACGCUGCUGGCAUUUGGCAGGAGCUUAGCAGCAUCGAGUGGAAGUGGGGACACACGCUUGACCUAGCAAGAGCUCUCCUGGGUACACACUCCAGCAUAACGCAGGCCCAUGGGGCAGGGAGCACACGCGAGAAGAGACUAGAAACAAGACAAAUGCUCGUCCCCAGGAGGUGGUGAAUGAAGGCUCCAUGGCACCGCACAUGAUAGGGAGAAUGAAUGAAUGAAUGACUACAGCUACAUGUGGAUGAGCAUCAAAGAAGACGCCACACAGAAGAGGCAAAAACAUCGAACAAUACUCCAUCCUCGGACUUUAAGGUUCAAAGCCAGGCAAAAGGAAACUGCUUCAGGCUGCAUACAGAGGUGGCAAACAGAGAGAAAAGCAAGCAUAUGAUGGCCUCAAAAGUCAGGAGAGUUGGACUGGGCACGGUGGCUCAUGCCUGUAAUCCCAGCACUUUGGGAUGCCGAGGCGGGAGGAUUACUUGAGGCCAGGAGUUCGAGACCAGCCUGGCCAACAUUGUGAAACCCCAUCUCUACAUUUUUAGAGAAUUAAAAUUAAGGCCAGGUGGGGUGGUUCACACCUGUAAUCCCUGCACUUUGAGAGGCCAAGGCGAGUGGAUCGCCUGAGGUCAGGAGAUCAAGACCAGCCUGACCAACAUGGUGAAGCUCCGUCUCUACUAAAAAUAUAAAAAUUGGCGUGGCGUGGCGGUAGGCGCCUGUAAUCCCAGCUACUCGGGAGGCUGAGGCAGGAGAAUCACUUGAACCUGGGAGGCGAAGGUUGCAGUGAGCCGAGAUGGUGCCGCUGCACUCCAGCCUGGGUGACAGAGUGAGACUCUGUUUCAAAAAAAUAAAACAACAACAACAAAACACAAAAAUUAGCCGGGUGUGGUGGCACAUGCCUGUAAUUCCAGCUACUCGGGAGGCUGAGGUACGAGAAUUGCUUGAACCCAGAAGGUGGAGGUUGCAGUAAGCUGAGAUUGUGCCACUGCACUUCAGCCUGGGUGAUGGAGUGGGACUCUGUCUCAAAAAAAAUUAAAAUUAAAAAGAGUGGAUGCUUCUGGGGGAAGGGAGGGACUGGGAGCUUUUGGGGGUUGGGGGAGGCUGGCACCAUCUGUUUCUUCACCUGGAGGGGUGGCUACAUAGAUUUUUCCCUUUAUAGUAAUUGGUUUUGCUAUACAUUUAUGUUUUAUGCAAUUUUCACUGUGUAUCCUAACAAUUUAUAAUUAUGAUUUGAAAGAAAAAAAUUGAUAUAUCUAUACAAUUCUCCCUCGGUAGCUGAGGGAGAUUGGCUCCAGAACCCCCGCAGGAGGUACCACAUCCAGGGAUGCUCACGUCCCUCAGUCAGCCCUCCAUAACCGCGGAUGGAAAAGCUGGCCCUCCAUAGUAAAUUUUCAGUCCUUCGUUGGUUGAAUGGGUGGGUGCAGAACCCGUGAUCCUGAGGGCCCAUGAUACCCAGGGCCAACUAUAUAUACAGCAGUUCCCCUUAUCUGCAAGGCGUAUGUUCCAAGACCCCCAAUGGGAUGCCUGAAACUGUGGAUAACAUUGAACCCGAUUGCCAUCAGUUGGAACACGUUUCUGUUCCUGUCUUCCACCCCCCCAAACGUAAUGCCUUUUUCAUCUUAACCAAGCCCUUAUGCCCUGUGGCUGUUGACUUUCGCAGUUUGAGGUGUGACAGUAAACCCAGCACAAAUUCUUUCCCUUCUUCGCAAUUUCAUGGAUAGAAGGUUCGUUCUUACUGUAAAGCUUAGUAACCUUAGCAUACAAUUUUUUUUCUUUUCCUUAUUAGGUUCAAUACUUUCCCCUUUUUCACUUAAAGGAAGCACUUUACAGCUUCUCUUUGGCAUAUCCAAAUUGCCAGCAUCGCUACUCUUGCACUUUGGGGACAAUGUUAAGUGAAAUAAAGGCUACCUGAACAUAA
This is a long non-coding RNA of Homo sapiens (human), 2372 nucleotides long. RefSeq lists it as uncharacterized. NCBI's taxonomy places the organism in Eukaryota, Metazoa, Chordata, Mammalia, Primates, Hominidae. The transcript has 2 exons. The record is from RefSeq and is a predicted model, not a curated record.